GCUCAGAACGAACGCUGGCGGCAGGCUUAACACAUGCAAGUCGAACGCCCCGCAAGGGGAGUGGCAGACGGGUGAGUAACGCGUGGGAAUCUACCGUGCCCUGCGGAAUAGCUCCGGGAAACUGGAAUUAAUACCGCAUACGCCCUACGGGGGAAAGAUUUAUCGGGGUAUGAUGAGCCCGCGUUGGAUUAGCUAGUUGGUGGGGUAAAGGCCUACCAAGGCGACGAUCCAUAGCUGGUCUGAGAGGAUGAUCAGCCACAUUGGGACUGAGACACGGCCCAAACUCCUACGGGAGGCAGCAGUGGGGAAUAUUGGACAAUGGGCGCAAGCCUGAUCCAGCCAUGCCGCGUGAGUGAUGAAGGCCUUAGGGUUGUAAAGCUCUUUCACCGGAGAAGAUAAUGACGGUAUCCG
RNAcentral lists this ribosomal RNA (411 nucleotides) under Rhizobium rosettiformans. Its description in RNAcentral is "bacterial SSU rRNA". It matches the Rfam family "Bacterial small subunit ribosomal RNA", at positions 22 to 481 of the family's 1533-position model. The record is from RNAcentral. Lineage: Bacteria; Pseudomonadati; Pseudomonadota; Alphaproteobacteria; Hyphomicrobiales; Rhizobiaceae.